Xyrauchen texanus (razorback sucker) is the source of this 752-nucleotide long non-coding RNA. RefSeq lists it as uncharacterized. The record is from RefSeq and is a predicted model, not a curated record. The transcript has 4 exons. Lineage: Eukaryota; Metazoa; Chordata; Actinopteri; Cypriniformes; Catostomidae.
GCGUACGAGAUUAUGCGCAUGCAUUCUCACCUCGGUCAUUGUUUUGAUAGACAUGCAACGAGUAGUGUGAGAGAGACGCUCACUCUCUGGGAACGGUGUACAACAGUAUGUUGAGCAUUUCAACCCUCGUGAGGUGAAUGUGAUGUUCUGUAGGAGCUGAUUGUUACGCUCUUCACCAAUCAGCUGAUUGAACUUCUAUUCAAUAUGAAGGGAAGGGCAAAAAAGAUAAAAUUUGAAUUGAAGACAAUAAAUUGUUUUCAGCAAUAAAAGCUGCUGUCAUGAAAUGGGACCCAGCUGCUACAGAGGCCCAAAUAAAGUCUGCUGCAUCUGAUCAUCUGAAACAUGCCCCGGGAGAGUCAGGGGUGGUGGCUGUAAAUGAAUAUAUUGUGGACCUUAUAGCAGCCACAUUUUGUUAAUUGUUUACUGUUUUAACAAAAUUUUAUAGCACUUUUAUUUAUAACUUUACUGUUCAGGUUUUAAGUUGUAUUGUGUUAAUUUAUACUUGACUGUUCAGGUUUUAAGUUGUAUUGUGUUAAUUUAUACUUGACUGUUCAGGUUUUAAGUUGUAUUGUGUUAAUUUAUACUUGACUGUUCAGGUUUUAAGUUGUAUUGUGUUAAUUUAUACUUGACUGUUCAGGUUUUAAGUUGUAUUGUGUUAAUUUAUACUUGACUGUUCAGGUUUUAAGUUGUAUUGUGUUAAUUUAUACUUUACUGUUCUGGUUUUAAGCUUGGGUAAAAUUUGUAAUAAAAAU